ACUGUUAUGGUUUGGUGUGCUCUUUGCAGGUUAUGGUUAUGUUUGCUGUAAUGACAAUGCCGACAUUCACUUACGGUAAUUUGAGUGAUUCCAUUUGGCUUAAUUAACUUGAAAUCCAGGAGAAGGAGUGAAGCUAUAGGUACAAGGAUCGCAGGAAAAUUUAUUACUCAUGUCCUUUAAUGCUACAGCUGAAGCAUCAGCCUGAUAUCCAUUAGAAACUUCAGAAGUAAGAAAACUUUCUCUAUUUUCGUUGUGGUCUACUUCAGACUCCUUGCCUACACCAUUAUGUUGCUCACUCAAUUCUCCAAUUACAGGGUAUCGGCAAUCAGCAGUGUUGAUGCUGUAGCGGUUGUUGUCGCGGAUUCAUGUAAGACUCCAUUGGAUUCAAAAAACCUUGAAAAUUCGUAGCUUCCUUGAGGCUGCAGCAUGUCUAAGUUGAAAGGAGGGGAUUGGACUGAACUUACGCAGGAAGAUUCAAACAGAAGAGAAGUUCACUGAACCGCUGUUGACAGGAUUCGACAAUUGCAGGGCAAAGGGAAUGGCAUAACAGGUCGGGCAUUUGUUGGUGCAGUAGGCUGGACAGGUGGGGAAGAUUUCACCUGUAAAUCCCUGUGAGUUGGCCGUGAAGUCACAGGCAAUGGAAGUAUCGGUGGCUGGGAUUCAACAGCGACAGACACAGGUGGCUCUGGAGGUAAAGUUGAUGAUACCGGAACUACUUCAACAUCCUUAGGUGCUGUUUGUGAAGGCUUGAGAUAAGUGGUUCUUCAGGAAGUUGGAUUGUUCACAGCAUGAUUUUCUAAUUGCAUUUACAACCUCUGGUUUUUUCACUUGACUGCCAUAUUCAUCUUCUGUUUUUCCUUUCCGAUAUGCACCGAAUAUUUGAUGAUGAUGACGCAUUGGUGUUUGCCUGGUUUCGACCGGAAUUGACUGCUAAUCUUGGAUUAAUGGACUGUUGUGAUGCUGAAAUUUUGCAGGAACAAAGGCUGCAUCAAUAAAACAGUGGCUUUCCACUUGGCUAUCUUCGUCCUCCAGGGGAAUGUACGGAACCCAGUCCAUUUUCAUUUGUUUCAUGGGAAUUAUCUCUUCAGCCUCUCUUUGAAUGAAGCUAAUCCCAAUUUUAUCAGAUGGUGGAAAAGGUGAGACAACAGCUACAACAACCGGAAUGCAGAUAACUUUGUUUUCUUGUUUGUGCAUAACCAAUUGAGGCUCAGUGCAACCAAAGAGGAAUCCAAUUGAUCCCACUCAGUUCCAACUGGGAAUGUUUCAACCUACAAGUCCUCCAAGUUGCGUUUCAGAAUAUUCCGGUUCAGAUUGGGGUUUUGAGGUUUUGACACGUUUUGCUUUGAAAUUGAACAGAGAAGAAGACGAAGUGGGAUUGCGAAGAGUAUUGUUGAAGCGUGAGAAAAGGAAUUGGUAGCGAAUUGGCGAGGCUUGAUUGCUGGAACUUUGAACACGAUUCCAAAGCGCUUCAAUUCCUCCAGUGCAGCCAGAUUUGGUGCUCUUUACAGGUGAUUUUGGUGAAGAAAAUCUUGAAGUCGUUUGAAGUGUUGCAAAUGUUGAAUUUGCUAAAGCAGUUAUAUUAGAAAACCAUGACUCCUGGUUUACUAAGAAGUUUUCUCUAAUAAAAGUAAGUGUUGUUGGUGGACGACCAUUUUCUUGUGGGGGUACCUCGAAAAAAGCUGCUGUAUUGGAAUUUUGUUCUACAAUGAAAAAUGUAGAAUGGUGUAUUGUAUAG
Molecule: long non-coding RNA, 1735 nt
Organism: Lathyrus oleraceus (garden pea)
Lineage: Eukaryota; Viridiplantae; Streptophyta; Magnoliopsida; Fabales; Fabaceae
Exons: 4
Source: RefSeq, a predicted model, not a curated record